AGAGUUUGAUCCUGGCUCAGAACGAACGCUGGCGGCGUGCUUAACACAUGCAAGUCGAACGGGAUCCAGAGCUUGCUCUGGUGAGAGUGGCGCACGGGUGAGUAACGCGUGGAUAACCUGCCCUGGUAUCCGGAAUAACAUCUCGAAAGGGGUGCUAAUACCGGAUAAGCCUACGGAGCCCUCGGUCUCUGCAGGAAAAGGUGGCCUCUAUUUAUAAGCUACCGUAUCAGGAUGGGUCCGCGUACCAUUAGCUAGUUGGUGGGGUAAUGGCCUACCAAGGCGACGAUGGUUAGCUGGUCUGAGAGGAUGAUCAGCCACACUGGAACUGAGACACGGUCCAGACUCCUACGGGAGGCAGCAGUGGGGAAUUUUGCGCAAUGGGGGAAACCCUGACGCAGCAACGCCGCGUGAGUGAUGAAGGCUUUCGGGUCGUAAAGCUCUGUCAGAGGGGAAGAAAUGAGAUUGGCUAAUAUCCAAUUUUCUUGACGGUACCCUCAAAGGAAGCACCGGCUAACUCCGUGCCAGCCGCCGCGGUAAUUC
Molecule: ribosomal RNA, 540 nt
Filed under: uncultured bacterium
Lineage: Bacteria
Description: bacterial SSU rRNA
Rfam family: Bacterial small subunit ribosomal RNA
Source: RNAcentral